This 465-nucleotide ribosomal RNA is filed under the name Vreelandella stevensii. RNAcentral's name for it is "partial 16S ribosomal RNA". It matches the Rfam family "Bacterial small subunit ribosomal RNA", at positions 338 to 795 of the family's 1533-position model. The record is from RNAcentral. Lineage: Bacteria; Pseudomonadati; Pseudomonadota; Gammaproteobacteria; Oceanospirillales; Halomonadaceae.
CCUACGGGAGGCUGCAGUGGGGAAUAUUGGACAAUGGGGGCAACCCUGAUCCAGCCAUGCCGCGUGUGUGAAGAAGGCCCUCGGGUUGUAAAGCACUUUCAGUGAGGAAGAACGCCUGGUGGUUAAUACCCAUCAGGAAAGACAUCACUCACAGAAGAAGCACCGGCUAACUCCGUGCCAGCAGCCGCGGUAAUACGGAGGGUGCGAGCGUUAAUCGGAAUUACUGGGCGUAAAGCGCGCGUAGGUGGCUUGAUAAGCUGGUUGUGAAAGCCCCGGGCUCAACCUGGGAACGGCAUCCGGAACUGUCAAGCUAGAGUGCAGGAGAGGAAGGUAGAAUUCCCGGUGUAGCGGUGAAAUGCGUAGAGAUCGGGAGGAAUACCAGUGGCGAAGGCGGCCUUCUGGACUGACACUGACACUGAGGUGCGAAAGCGUGGGUAGCAAACAGGAUUAGAUACCCUAGUAGUC